This 379-nucleotide ribosomal RNA is filed under the name Aurantilaria aurantiaca. RNAcentral's name for it is "partial 16S ribosomal RNA". It matches the Rfam family "Bacterial large subunit ribosomal RNA", at positions 2048 to 2600 of the family's 2925-position model. Lineage: Eukaryota; Metazoa; Mollusca; Gastropoda; Neogastropoda; Fasciolariidae. The record is from RNAcentral.
UAUGACUGUCUCUUUACAAUUUCAUAGAAUUUUAUAUCUAGGUGAAGAAGCCUAGUUAUGAUUAAAAGACAAGAAGACCCUAUCGAGCUUGAAAGAAGUCAAUAGGCUAUUUCAUAUUAUAUGAUUAAAAAUUUUUCUAUUAAAGAUUUUAGUUGGGGCUACNNNNNAACAAAAAAAGCUUCCUUUAAAUAACAAAAAUAUCUACAAGUAGUGAUCCAAAGAUUUUGAUUAAAGAAAUUAGUUACCGUAGGGAUAACAGCAUUAUCUUUUUUGAGAGUUCUUAUCGAAAAAAGGGUUUGUGACCUCGAUGUUGGACCAGAAUAUCCUAAAGAUGCAGCAGUCUUUAAGGGUUGGUCUGUUCGACCAUUAAAAUUCUACG